CGACGCCGAGUCAUCUUCCUCCCCCGCGCGAGCCUUCGUGCCCUAACCUCCUUCCCCGAUCCCGAGCGAUUUUUCUUUCCUCUUCCUCCUUCCUCGCGACGCCCAUCUCCACUGCCAGCACUGCCGACGCACGGAGCACUGCCACCGGCGACGCACGGAGCACUGCCGCACACCCCGGUGCCCUAGCAUCUCCGCCGACGCCACUGACUCCUCUCGGCCGUUUCUCUGUGCCGGCACCCGAACCCCAGCGCCGACCCCCUUUCCGCUGUGCCCUAGAUCUUUGCCGCAGGCCAUCGCGAGCCCUAAAUUUGCCGACCCAGCACCGCCAUUUCUUGACCUAGCCGGUCAUUGGAAAGCUUGCUGCCAUUGUCGACGAAGCCUCAGCCCUAGCACUGGUUGCCGUGAGCUCUAGCUGAGGUCGCAGAAUUCUGUCGAGCCGAGGGAAGAAUCCAGCAGAGAGGAGAUUCUGUUCCAUUCUGUUGAGAUCUGUGGAUUUGCUUGGUUCCAGCAUCAACAGUAGGUUGUUUGCUGUGGAAAGUUGCUGUUGUCGAUCACCACUUCCUCCUUCUUGAUCCGGUUGACUUGAGGACCUUGACGCGAGACGAGUUUCUCGACGUCCGGAUUUGGACGGAUUGGACCAUUUCUUUU
Zingiber officinale is the source of this 648-nucleotide long non-coding RNA. RefSeq lists it as uncharacterized. NCBI's taxonomy places the organism in Eukaryota, Viridiplantae, Streptophyta, Magnoliopsida, Zingiberales, Zingiberaceae. The record is from RefSeq and is a predicted model, not a curated record. The transcript has 3 exons.